Gordionus sp. m RMFG-2023 is the source of this 4914-nucleotide RNA transcript. It is a transcript of the gene named tax1-binding protein 3 homolog, with no coding region annotated. The transcript is spliced from 7 exons. The record is from RefSeq and is a predicted model, not a curated record. NCBI's taxonomy places the organism in Eukaryota, Metazoa, Nematomorpha, Gordioida, Chordodea, Parachordodidae.
AGUAUAUUCACUUGUGACCAGCAUUGUCAACUAUUUUUUUACUUUUCUUCUUUUAAUUUCGUCGGACAUACGAAAGGAUAUAAUUUAGUCCUCGUAAUUCUAUUCUUUUAAUGGCUAAUAUUAUAAUACACCCUGAGAAAACAAAUGAUUAAUUGCCAAGAGGUGCUAACAUGUGGAUUCAAAAUAGGUGGUGGAAUCGAUCAAGACCCAAAUAUAGCACCCUACAAUUAUUGUGACAAAGUUAUUCAAAGAACAUUGUUUAAUACUUUAAUUUGAAAUAUAAUAAUUAUUAAUAUUUUGAUAAUUUUUUCUUUCCUUUGAAUCUAUGAUUAACAGAAAGAGCACUGGCUGCACACCGAACUUUCCUGAUUUUAUAAACUGUUUAGGAGAUAAUUUUUUUCAAAAUCACUAUUAUAAAAAAUUAAUGAUGAUUAAAGUAAACUUUUUUAUUGUUCCCAAAGUUUUUAAUUCAAGCCUGUUUGCCCCAAAAUUUUAUAUACUUUUGGGCCUGAGACUUCCCAAUUGGAAUUUUUAAUUUAGGCCCAAACAUGUCUCAAUUUUUAACACUUUUAUGAAUAAAAUAAAAAUCACUAACUCUUUUAUCAAUCCCAUGGAAAUUUCAAUUAUCGUUUUAACAAAAAAAGUAAAAACAUUAUUAUUUUUAUUUUUCAGGAUUUUUUUUAAGCCAUAACCUGGCCUAAUUUUCAAUAUAUUUUAUCUUGGCCAUGUUUAAAUUUUUUCUGAAAAUUUAUACCUGAGCAUGGACUAAUUAUUUGUUAAUUUUUUCAAUAUGGGCCAGCCCAAUGUGCAUGACUCCAUUAUCUAUGAAUUUAAUGAUAUUUUAAAAACAUCAAAUUUAAUUUAUUGUUUUUUUUAUAUUUUACUAUUAAUAUUAGGGUUACAUUGAUCCACAAUUUUUUCACUAAACUGAUCCAAUAUUUGCCAAUAUUUAUUUCAAACAGUAUCGAUACCAAUAUUUACAUUAAUUUUUUUGUCAUUAUUUUUAAUAAUAUAAGAUAAUAGAAUUAGCAAAAUCUAGGCCUUUAAGCGAAUAUUGUUCUCAAUGAAAAAUUUUGAGGAGGAGGAUGAGUGGAAGAGACGUGAGAUUUUGGGAAGAUAUAAACACUUUUUUAAUAAGUAAAAAAGCUGGUGCUAUGGAAUGUGGUUGAUGAACUUUUGCAUCUCAGAAAAAGUUUUAUUGAUAAUUUUUUCGGAUAUAUUAUUAUUAAGUAAUGGGGAGCCCAAUAGUUGGAUAUCUUCUUUUUCGAUAAUAAUGUAUUCUUUAAAUAAAUCUAAGGGGAUCUCGGGGUUGAGGAAGCAAGUUUUAGUUUCAUCUAAUUUCAAACCUUUCGAGGUAGUUAAAGGCUUCGCUUAUUUGAUGUGGAUUACAGCAAAGAGUGCCAUCAUCAAGGUACCAUAGGUUUAGGUCGUGAUCAAAAUCAAAUUUAAGAUCUUUCAUCAUAUUAUGGAUUGCUAAGCAGAAAAGAAUAGGGCCAAGGGGUUGUCCUGUUCUACUCCCUCUUCAGAUAUAACGCUACCAUUAAAGAUGAGGGGAGUGCUAUUGUUAUAGCAGAUGUCUAUGAAGCGGGAGUAUUGGGGGAAAUUAUCGAAAAAAGAUUCGAGUGCCGAAGAACGUCAAAUUGUAUUGAAAGCAUUCUUAAAAUCGAUUUUACAUAAAACGGAGUUUAUUGGUGGAUGUUGGAGGUAGAUUCGUAGGUAGUGAGAGCCUAUAUCUAGGCCUCCUUUUGUUCCGCAACCUAAUUGGUAUUUGCCAAGCAGGGAAUGAGUAUCGGAUUUUAUUUUUUUUGCUAUAAUUUUAGCUAUCAGGUGUCUGAAAAAUGAAUCGAUUGCGAUUGGGCGGAUGCCACCAUUAAUUUUUUCAAAAGCUAUCUAGUUAGCUCCAAACAUAAUUUGAUGAGCUAAUGUGGGAAUAUCUUUCAGUUAUAUUAAUAAGGAAGGUGGUAAGUGAGUUAAAAAAAUUAUUGGAAUUAUGAGAUUUUAAAAAUGUUUGGAAGUAAGAAGGUCUAUAGCCACCCGGGCCUGUUGCUGAAAAUUUAUUAAAUUCACUUAUUGUAUCGCGAAUAUCUUGGAUGAAUGGGGGGGAUAUUGAUUAGUGGGUUUGGUAAGCCAGUAUAAGAGGCACGUGGAUGAAGAGAUUUUAGGUUGUUAAGGGUCUCGUUGUUAGAUGGGGCGAGUUUUUUUUGUGAAGAGAUUAAUUUUUAUGCACCACAUAUGUCACCUUCAUUUAUCUUUUUGGAAAUUUUGUUGCAGGUAUUAAUGAAAAUUUCAUUAGAAUUAUUGGGAUUUUUAACAUAUUCUAAUAGUGUUAAAUUUCCCAAAUUUUUGAGUCUGCCUUUUAUUAGGUUAGGUAGUGAGAUAGAUUUGUUAUCUUUUGGGAUUGAGAGGCAUUUAAAAGGGAAUGUGAGGAGAUUAUUCCAAUGAUUUAAAUUUGACAAAUCUUUGUUAAUAUUAUCAAAUAAUUUAGUAAGAUGGUCAUUGAUUUGGUAAUUAACACUAGAUGGGAUUUUUAUUGUUGGUAUUGUUUUAAUAAAGAUAAAUAUUUCUAGUGAUUUGUUAUUUACUUGUAUGUGCUUUUGGGAUUAUACUUAUUGAACCAGAAAACGAAUUAUACUCAAACCAAAGAUAAAAAUUAUACUCAAACCGAAAGAAACAAAAUCUUUUAUUUUUCAAACACUAAAAUCUAACAAUGAAAUAAUAAUAAUAAAAUAUAUCCAAUACAUAAAAAAAAUCAAUAUUAUUUUCUUAAAAUUAAUAACAAUAAUAAUAAUAAUGUACAUAUACCUAGAACACCCCUUAUAUUUAAGAGGCGUUCUCAGGUUACUAAAUAUAUAUAUAAAAAAAUUAUUACAUUUCAUAUUAUAUAAAGCUCGUUUUUAUUCUUAACUUCAGUUAUACCCAUUUCUGCAAAUUCUUGUUAUACUUCCUCAGCUACAUUCAUCUUAGUAGAAAAACUGUCGGGUCUUUUCCUUUGCAAUAUUGGUUUCUUCAUAAGCGUCUUACGCACUCCAAAAUUUUUCCGAUUAUUCAAAACAUGUUUCAGGAAUACUUGCUUAGGCUCCAGGAUUACGUUAGAACGAUCCAAACGAUCCAGAAUUGUGUUAGAAUGAGCAAAAUUCGAAUCAUUGAAAACUUUAUUUUGAUUAUUAUCAUUAUUGUUGAUAACAUAGGUAUUGCUGGGACAGUUAGCUGCUUUGUGUCCUUUUGUUCCACAUGCAAAACAAGUUAAACGGAAUAUAGGUCUGUUGAACAAUUGCUGAACAUUCAUCCUAGAUCUAUGAAAGGAUGGUUGCACAUUUAUCGUUGGUUGGUUUGGUGGCUGACCAUUUCUCACAAGUUCCUCCUUCCUAUUUGCCAGUUCAGUCCAUGCACAGGCUAAAGCAAUUGCAAAGGAAAAGACCCGACAGUUUUUCUACUAAGAUGAAUGUAGCUGAGGAAGUACAACAAGAAUUUGCAGAAAUGGGUAUAACUGAAGUUAAUGAAUAAAAACGAGCAUUGUAUAUUAUGAAAUGUAAUAUUUUUUUUAUAUAUAUUUAGUAACCUGAGAACGCCUCUUAAAAAUAAGGGAGGUGUUCUAGGUAUAUGUACAUUAUUAUUAUUGUUAUUAAUUUUAAAUAAUAUUGAUUUUUUUAUGUAUUGGAUAUAUUUUAUUAUUAUUGAUUCAUUGUUAGAUUUUAUUUUUUUCGGUUUGAGUAUAAUUUUUGUCUUUGGUUUGAGUAUAAUUCGUUUUCUGGUUUGAUAAGUAUAAUCCCAAAAGUGGUGCAUUGAUUGGGGGUUCUAUUUAGUUUUAUGCAAAGUGUAUUAGAACCUGAGCAAGGGAGUGCUGGAGUGCCAUGUUUGUAUAGAUGGUCAUCUUUUUUUAUAAAGUUUGUGACAGGUUGGGCAGAUUCCUUUCAUGCUAAUGAUGAGAAGAUGGUUUAAUACCUGAGAAGUUUGUUACUAUGAGUCUAAGAGUGAAUUCACAGUAGAGAGCGACAGCGACACGACAAAAUACAAAUAUAUGUAAUUACCAAUGACUAUUCAUAGUGAGCUUUUGCGACACGACAAUCCCGCCACAUUUGUCGCAUUAAACUUAAAAAUCAAGUUACAAAUCAUUUUGUUUUUUUCCAUACGACAUUAACUACAAUAUGGCCGAAAUACAAAAUUUGCAAGAUAUAAAUAAAGAAGAGUUGAUCAACUCUGUUAGAUUUUACCCUUGUCUUUAUGACAAAAGAUCAAUUGGGUAUAAAAAUACCCAGAAAAAUAAUUCCAUAUGGAAAUCCAUAGCAGCAGAAAAUAGUAUUGAGACAGUAGAGAUAGCUAAAUCUACAUGGAAGAAUCUAAGAGAUUCUUUUUUGAGGGAACAUAAAAAGUUGAAAUGUUUAAAAAGUGGGUCAGGGGCUGAUCACAGUCCCACCUGGAAAUUUUAUAAUAAUUUAACUUUUUUGAUUCCCACUAUAGAAUCUGGGAAACAAUACACCAACCUGAAAAAAAUAAAACUUCUUAUACCUAAUAUUGGUGAAGCAAAAUGAGUGGAAAUUUCCAAUAUGAAGAUGCUGUUGAAAUUGAAUGUGUAGAGACUAGUCAGAGUCAAUCUACAGAUGUUAGGAAUGAUGCAUCACCAUCAACUAGUGAAUCUUAUGUACCUGGCAAAAAGUUAAUUAAAAAGAGAGAUAUUGAUCAAGAUUUAUUUGUUCAAGUUCUUGAAAUUGAAAGAAUAAAAGAAAGUAGAAAAUCAACAAAUUCUUGGACCAAUGUGAUGCUUGAGCAGACCCUGGCAAAAAGAUCAGAAAGGGGAAAGAAGAAGCUUAUUAAAAUUAUUUUUGAUAUUCUCUUCAACUUUGACACUGAUGAAGAAGAAUGAAAAAUAUUAUAUAUUGUUAUUAUUUCAUUGGAGGCUUUUAUAUUAUUUUAAUU